UGGUUCAGUGGUAGAAUGCUUGCCUUCCGUGCAGGAGACCAGGGUUCAACUCCCUG
RNAcentral lists this transfer RNA (56 nucleotides) under Loxodonta africana (African savanna elephant). It matches the Rfam family "tRNA", at positions 8 to 63 of the family's 71-position model. From Rfam's summary of the family: Transfer RNA (tRNA) molecules are approximately 80 nucleotides in length. Lineage: Eukaryota; Metazoa; Chordata; Mammalia; Proboscidea; Elephantidae. The record is from Rfam by way of RNAcentral.